UUGAGGACACUGGAGGCAGCGGUUCAUCGAUCUGUUCCCUGAACGCAACAGCGCUGGGAAUCGGUCGAUAAACCUCUGCAUCCAGCGCUUAAACC
Molecule: microRNA precursor, 95 nt
Filed under: Nicotiana tabacum (common tobacco)
Lineage: Eukaryota; Viridiplantae; Streptophyta; Magnoliopsida; Solanales; Solanaceae
Description: miR162b stem-loop (nta-MIR162b)
Gene: nta-MIR162b
Rfam family: MIR162_1 microRNA precursor family
Source: miRBase by way of RNAcentral